This is a long non-coding RNA of Etheostoma cragini (Arkansas darter), 144 nucleotides long. RefSeq lists it as uncharacterized. The transcript has 3 exons. The record is from RefSeq and is a predicted model, not a curated record. NCBI's taxonomy places the organism in Eukaryota, Metazoa, Chordata, Actinopteri, Perciformes, Percidae.
CAUAUAUUUACCAAAUUACAUUUUUUUUGAAAGCUCAAAGAUUGUGUGACAGCACAACCAGAACUCUGCUGACUCGGAACGGUUUCCAGGCUGUUCUCAGUCGUUGAGCAGAUCCGAAGGCAGCAGAUCUUCCCCUUGGUGAUA